Saccostrea echinata is the source of this 656-nucleotide long non-coding RNA. RefSeq lists it as uncharacterized. The record is from RefSeq and is a predicted model, not a curated record. Lineage: Eukaryota; Metazoa; Mollusca; Bivalvia; Ostreida; Ostreidae. The transcript has 3 exons.
AAAAAAAACGAGUGUACCCUCCUGUGGCUUGUUCCAGAGUUUCCUUUGGGAUUUAUGUGCCCUAAUCCCUUGAAACUACGGUGAAUAUGUUCAACGUAACACGGCCAGGUGAAUCGAAUGGUUCCGUUUCAUCGAAGUCAUAAUGAAGUUAUGCAUUUUUUAUGCUAAACGACAUUUAUUUGAAGGCUUUACUAAAUUUUGAGAAAUGCUUGUCAGGACAAAAGACUGAAAAACUGCCUUUAAACACAGCCAUCAUUAAUGUAAAUGGAUUCAUAAGGAACAUCCAAACAAUAUGAUACUAGGAUCAUCAGAGACUGGCAAUUUUUACCACUCACUGUGAUAGAUGCAUCUAAAUAAACAUUGAAAUGUUAAAUUUUUUUGUUCAUUGCUUUUCCUCAUAUGGUAUUAAUAUUGCAUAAUAUUCUUGUGAAUAUCGCACGAUUUUCACACGAAAAACAGACAAAGUGGAAUUCGCAUGAAUAUCAUGCGAAAUUUUAGUCGCAUGAAAAUCGCAUGAAUUUCGCAUGAAAUUUGUGUGAUAACAUUCGCAUGAAAUUCGCAUGUGGGACUUUUCACAUGAUUUUUGUAUGAUUUUCGCAUAAAUUUCAUGCGAAAAGGCAAACGCAUGAAAAUCAUGUGAGCCACUUUUCCCUGUG